GUUUUGGGGAAAGGAUAAUGAAUUUCUUUUUGGACCCAUCAAGUCUAAGACUGUAUGAUUUCAUGAGUCUAUGUCAUUGCUCUAUGGGCUCUCAUCUUUUUCCUUUUUAAAACCAAGGUAAUCAUCGCUGCUCUACCUGCCUCACUGGGAUGUUGUAAGGAUCAGAGGAGAUUAUUUUUGCUUCAAGUCGUCAAUGGAGCUGUGAUCUCACAGAUAUCUUUUUGGGCACUCCCUUCAGACAUACCAUGAGGAAUAAGGGUGGCCACUCCUACUCCAAGUAUCAGAGAGAAGAACACUGCAAGUUUGGAGAAGUUACCCUAGGAACAGAGAAGAACCUCAACAGAUAUAUAAGUCUUCUUGUAUGGCUUCAAGUGACAGAAUGCUGCAGUCUCUGAAGAAUUAAAAUUGUGUGUCAUCUAAAGGGCAGUGAAGAAGUGCAUGGUGGACACAAACUGUCUAUAAUACAUUGUAAAAAAAGGAAUUAUGCAGAAGAAGCAGUGUGAUGAAUGUCAUCAAAGAAAUGGAUGAUUGAAAAAGAAGUUGGGCCAGUCUCAUGGGGAGAGUGAGAGAUGACUGACUGAUGGAUAGCUCUUGUGCUCCAUAAAAGUCUUUCUCCCUCUGUAUGCAGGGUCCAGUGCCAAAGCUGAGGAAGGUGACUGAUCCCAAUUUGUUAUGCAGUUGUCAUUCAUUGCUUAAUUAAUAAAAAUGCUCAGAUGCUCGAACUUU
This 726-nucleotide long non-coding RNA is filed under the name Monodelphis domestica (gray short-tailed opossum). Its description in RNAcentral is "lncRNA (ENSMODG00000043016.1)". Lineage: Eukaryota; Metazoa; Chordata; Mammalia; Didelphimorphia; Didelphidae. The record is from RNAcentral.